This is a long non-coding RNA of Vidua chalybeata, 2222 nucleotides long. RefSeq lists it as uncharacterized. The record is from RefSeq and is a predicted model, not a curated record. The transcript has 10 exons. Lineage: Eukaryota; Metazoa; Chordata; Aves; Passeriformes; Viduidae.
GUGAGAAAGGAAGACACGGACAGAGCAUCCCCCGGGGCAGCAAGCACCGAGAGCGGCCGAGCACCGCCCCAGAGCGAGGGACACGGAACCGGGAGCACCACGGGGACCCAUGGAGCAUCCACCCGGGUCAGCGGUGAAGAGGGUGCCGGGAUCGGGCGGGAGGAGCACGGACACCCACCGGAUCAUCCCCCACAGGGUAGGAAUCCCCACGGAGCAGCGAGAGCGUCGGAGCAUUCCCGGGGUGCGAAGGGAGGACACCGACAGAGAAUCCCUUGGGUCAACGAGCGCCGAGAGCAACCGAGCAUCCCCGUGGUGAGGACGACGGUGCCAGGAGCAGCACGGAGAGUGAGAUAGCAUCCCCCGGAGGGUACGGAUCCCCACGGAGAGCGGCGGAGCAUCCCCGGGGUGAGAAAGGAAGACACGGACAGAGCAUCCCCCGGGGCAGCAAGCACCGAGAGCGGCCGAGCACCGCCCCAGAGCGAGGAACACGGAACCGGGAGCACCACGGGGACCCAUGGAGCAUCCACCCGGGUCAGCGGUGAAGAGGGUGCCGGGAUCGGGCGGGAGGAGCACGGACACCCACCGGAUCAUCCCCCACAGGGUAGGAAUCCCCACGGAGCAGCGAGAGCGUUGGAGCAUCCCCGGGGUGCGAAGGGAGGACACCGACAGAGAAUCCCUUGGGUCAACGAGCGCCGAGAGCGACCGAGCAUCCCCGUGGUGAGGACGACGGUGCCAGGAGCAGCACGGAGAGUGAGAUAGCAUCCCCCGGAGGGUAGGGAUCCCGACGGAGAGCGGCGGAGCAUCCCCGGGGUGAGAAAGGAAGACACGGACAGAGCAUCCCCCGGGGCAGCAAGCACCGAGAGCGGCCGAGCACCGCCCCAGAGCGAGGGACACGGAACCGGGAGCACCACGGGGACCCAUGGAGCAUCCACCCGGGUCAGCGGUGAAGAGGGUGCCGGGAUCGGGCGGGAGGAGCACGGACACCCACCGGAUCAUCCCCCACAGGGUAGGAAUCCCCACGGAGCAGCGAGAGCGUCGGAGCAUCCCCGGGGUGCGAAGGGAGGACACCGACAGAGAAUCCCUUGGGUCAACGAGCGCCGAGAGCGACCGAGCAUCCCCGUGGUGAGGACGACGGUGCCAGGAGCAGCACGGAGAGUGAGAUAGCAUCCCCCGGAGGGUAGGGAUCCCCACGGAGAGCGGCGGAGCAUCCCCGGGGUGAGAAAGGAAGACACGGACAGAGCAUCCCCCGGGGCAGCAAGCACCGAGAGCGGCCGAGCACCGCCCCAGAGCGAGGGACACGGAACCGGGAGCACCACGGGGACCCAUGGAGCAUCCACCCGGGUCAGCGGUGAAGAGGGUGCCGGGAUCGGGCGGGAGGAGCACGGACACCCACCGGAUCAUCCCCCACAGGGUAGGAAUCCCCACGGAGCAGCGAGAGCUGCGGAGCAUCCUCGGGGUGCGAAGCGAGGACACCAACAGAGAAUCCCUUGGGUCAACGAGCGCCGAGAGCGACCGAGCAUCGCCCCGGAGCGAGGACCACGGAUCCGGGAGCACCACGGUGACGAAUGGAGCAUCCCCCCCAUGCAGCUGUGAAGACGGUGCCGGGAUCGGGCAGCAGCUCCCCAGACACUACUGGAGCAUCACCCACAGGUAUUGUAUUUUUCCAAAUAGGGUAGGGAUCCACACGGAUCACCGAGUGCGGGAGAGCAUCCCCGGAGCUGAGGAAGGAGGCCAUGGACAGAGAAUCCCCCGGGGCAGCGAGCACUGAGAGCGGCGGAGCAUCAACCCGGGGCGAAGAUCACAGACACCCAUGGAAUGGCAAAGACGGUGCUGGGAUGGGGCGGAAGGAGCCUGGACACCCAGCGGAGCAUCCCCCCGAGCCUAGGAAUCCCCACGGAGCACAGAGAGCGGCGCACCAUCGGCCUGGAGCGAGGACCAUGGUGUCGGGAGCACCAUGGAGAGCGGCGGAGCAUCCCCGGGGUGAGGACGAUGGUGCCAGGACCACCACGGAGAUUGAGAUAGCAUCCGCCGGAGGGUAGGAAUCCCGACGGAGAGGGGGUGAGGAGGGAGGCCACGGACAGAGAAUCCCCCCGCGGCAGGGGCGGUGACGGUGCCGGGAUCGGACGGAAGCUCCGUGGACCCCGACCGGAGCAUCCCCCACAAUUAAGGCCCGUCCCCCUCUCUCCAAUUUCUGAAAUAAAUUUGACAAAAAUCUCAUUAAA